CGGUGGAGCAUGUGGUUUAAUUCGAAGCAACGCGAAGAACCUUACCAGGCCUUGACAUGCAGAGAACUUUCCAGAGAUGGAUUGGUGCCUUCGGGAACUCUGACACAGGUGCUGCAUGGCUGUCGUCAGCUCGUGUCGUAAGAUGUUGGGUUAAGUCCCGUAACGAGCGCAACCCUUGUCCUUAGUUACCAGCACGUUAUGGUGGGCACUCUAAGGAGACUGCCGGUGACAAACCGGAGGAAGGUGGGGAUGACGUCAAGUCAUCAUGGCCCUUACGGCCUGGGCUACACACGUGCUACAAUGGUCGGUACAAAGGGUUGCCAAGCCGCGAGGUGGAGCUAAUCCCAUAAAACCGAUCGUAGUCCGGAUCGCAGUCUGCAACUCGACUGCGUGAAGUCGGAAUCGCUAGUAAUCGUGAAUCAGAAUGUCACGGUGAAUACGUUCCCGGGCCUU
Molecule: ribosomal RNA, 453 nt
Filed under: uncultured Pseudomonas sp.
Lineage: Bacteria; Pseudomonadati; Pseudomonadota; Gammaproteobacteria; Pseudomonadales; Pseudomonadaceae
Description: bacterial SSU rRNA
Rfam family: Bacterial small subunit ribosomal RNA
Source: RNAcentral